ACAUUGCAGCAGCAGCAGCAGGGCCAGCAGUUCUGAGGAGGAGGAGAGGUUCUCCUCAGGGAAAUAGGGGGCUUCACGCCCCACAUUGCAGCAGCAGGGCCAGCAGUUCUGAGGAGGAGGAGAGGUUCUCCUCAGGGAAAUAGGGGGCUUCACGCCCCACAUUGCAGCAGCAGGGCCAGCAGUUCUGAGGAGGAGGAGAGGUUCUCCUCAGGGAAAUAGGGGGCUUCACGCCCCACAUUGCAGCAGCAGGGCCAGCAGUUCUGAGGAGGAGGAGAGGUUCUCCUCAGGGAAAUAGGGGGCUUCACGCCCCACAUUGCAGCAGCAGGGCCAGCAGUUCUGAGGAGGAGGAGAGGUUCUCCUCAGGGAAAUAGGGGGCUUCACGCCCCACAUUGCAGCAGCAGGGCCAGCAGUUCUGAGGAGGAGGAGAGGUUCUCCUCAGGGAAAUAGGGGGCUUCACGCCCCACAUUGCAGCAGCAGGGCCAGCAGUUCUGAGGAGGAGGAGAGGUUCUCCUCAGGGAAAUAGGGGGCUUCACGCCCCACAUUGCAGCAGCAGGGCCAGCAGUUCUGAGGAGGAGGAGAGGUUCUCCUCAGGGAAAUAGGGGGCUUCACGCCCCACAUUGCAGCAGCAGGGCCAGCAGUUCUGAGGAGGAGGAGAGGUUCUCCUCAGGGAAAUAGGGGGCUUCAUGCCCCACACUGCUACUACUCGGCUGCUGAGGAAGACUAACUACAAGCCUCUAAGGGGCAGCAGCCGCUUUCCUUCCAUCCCGCGGAGAAAUGCUCUGAGGGAAGGCUGUCUCCACAGGGCAAGGAAGGGCUCCAUGCCCGGCAGUGGCUUUCACCUCAGCAUUUUAAUGAGAAUAAUUAAUAAACAGUCAUGGAGGAAAAGCUGUCUCUAAGCUUGCUUCUAAUCCUCUGGGGGAAGGGCUCUGUGCCCACGUUUAGCUCACAGGCAAAAAUUUUCUGAGGGGAGGCUGUCUCCAGGACAGAGCAAGGAAGGGCUCUAUGCCCAGCCUGGGCUUUUACGUCACCAAAAUAAGGAUAAUAAAUCUCUGUUGCUUCAGAAAAAGGAGGAGGAAACCACUCAAGCCAUGCUACUCAGCCAGGAUAUGGCUUUUUAAAAGAAUACUUUGUGGGAGAGUGGUGGGAACAUGGUCUUCAAGACCCCUGCCAAAAACCAGUUUCUGAGGGGAAGUGAAGUUUCUGAGUGGGGAGUUCAUCUCUCUGCUUUGGCUUCAUCUUGCCAAAAGAACUCAAACCCCUUUGGAGGAUGCUGCAGCCGUGCUGACGUGUGCAAAAGCCCGGCCACCUCACUGCCCACAUUUGUAGCAUUUGUCUGCAGAGGGCAACACGCGACAGAUUCUCCCCGUCCUCAGAACACUGGGGCGCCACAGUCUUCUGCAUCACGGUGAAAAUCUGUCCACUCUUAGAGCGUUCUUUCUCUGUGCAGACAAAUGCUAGAACUAUGGACCGCGUAGGGCAGGACUUCUGAGCGCAACAGCACAGGGGCUGUAGCAGGAAAUUCCCUGAGGCCAGGGGCUGCUGUGCAACUACAGACUGGCCCUUUUAGUCUGAGAAAACUUGGUGCGACCUGAGGCUCCUUUAUUCUCCCGACAGCUGUGUAUGGCAGCAUAAUUCCUAAGAGAGUGGCUGGCUUGAAUGGAACACCCUCCCUGCGCAUUAAAAGGCUUAGGCUUCUAGAUACUCGGAACACUUUUCUGAGGCAGCAUAAGCUCUAAUUUUCAGGCAGGCUUGUAUGGAACAUGCUUCAGGCUUCUUAAUUCUCUCAAGAGAAGAGAGGGUUCUCUUUAUAUUCUCUCAAAUUCUUUUUAAUGAGUUAUAUCUUUUCAUAUUUGUGAACCGCCUAGAGCUAACUGGAUAAGGGGGUAUAGACACUUAAUGAAAGAAUGAAUAAAUAAAACAGCCAUGGGAGGCAGCAUAAUCUCUAAGAUGGGGGCUGGCUUGUAUGCAUGAUAGAAGCACCAGAUUGCUUUAUAACUGCCAACUUUAUAGGGAAAGAUACACUGCAAUUUAGCACCUAUCUUUAACUGAACAUUUUUAAUGUGUGUUCUAUCCCCACAACAUCGCUUGGAGGACAAUUUAGCAAGAAAAAACGGAGUCGGUGCAUGUGUCCCUACGAUGCCCAGGCCGGAGUGCUGCUCUUGGAGAAUUUGUUCCUCCCAAGAGGCCAAGGUGGCAGAUUUCAAGAAACAACCAAUGGAGGCGACAUCACAGAAGCCAAGAAGACAUGAAAGAGCAAACGACACAGACACACAGGAUUUCAAGAAACAACCAACAGGCAACGUCACGGAAUCCAAGAAGACGUGAAAGGAGCCAGCGACACAGACACACAGGGCAAGCCAAACCAAUCCACAACCCAGGGGCUGCGUAGAAGCUUGAGGCUUCUCUCUUGUCCCAAACAUCAUCAUCAUCAUGCACUUUAUUUGUGAGCCACCCCAUAACAAAUAGUCCUCUGGGCGGCUCACAACACAACAUUGAAAAAUCUCCAAUAAGAGCACAUACAACACGACAAACACAUCACAACACAAAACAGCAGCAUCUCUAAAAUGGUGGCUGCCUUGAAUGGAAGAGGCUUCAUGCCUCUUCAAGGAGCUUGGGGGAAUUGCCAAGAACAGACACAAUACCAUGUACAGGUUGUAUUCUGCCAUUUAGAGAACACGCUUCUCGCGUGUUGGGAGCUUCAAGCUUCUUUAGUCCCGCAACUCUUUUCUUGGGCUACAUACACUCUAAGAUGGUGGCUGCCUUGAAUGGAAGAGGCUUUAUGCCUCUUCCAUUGUGUUCCCUUGACAACCCUGCGUGGCAAACCGGGCCAGAAGAAACACAUGUCUGCGCAUGUGUCCCUACGACCUCCAGGCAGCUCUUGGAGCAUUUUCUCCUACCAAGGGGCCAAUGUGGCAGAAUUCACAAAAGGCGGCAACUACACACAAGCCAAGGAAGGAGGAAAAGAGUCUCUUGGAAGAACCAAGAGGCAGCGACACACAAGCCACAAAGGAAUUAAAAGAGCCGACAACGAUGCACAAGAUAGCCAAAGCAAGGGCUGUGUUCCUCACCGCCCUGAAUGCUCUGUCAAUCCAGGGGCCAUCAGUAGAAACUUCAGGCUGCUUUGUUCUCUCACCACCUGUGGAAGGCAGCAUGAUCUCUCAUUCUGUGGCUGACUGGAAUGAAACACGCUUCAUGUAUGUUACAAGCUUCAUGUAAUAAUAAUUCUCCCAACAGCCUUGUCAAGCUGGAUAUCCUCUAAGAUGGAGACUGCCUUUAACAGGACACACUUCAUGUGUGCUGCAUGCUCAGCAGCCCUUUGUGGCAUGUUUGGAAAGAAGAAACAGAGUUGGCACACAUUUGCAAUGACCUCCAUGCCGGAGUGGUGAUUUUGGAAUGUUUUCUCCUCCCAAGAGGCCUGUGUGGGAGGCAGGAUCAAAGACAGGGACUGGACCAAGGUAAAGGGAUCCCACCCCUGUCAAAAAUAGAACUCCCAGGGUGGUGUAAGAGACAAUCGAAGAGGAACAAGACUAAUGCCUGCUAUGAUGAGGCUCUUCAGCAGAGCACUGAAGAAUCCAUACCAAAUAAGUAUUGUUAUGGCUGACAAGCAGACUAGGUUUCUCAGUAGUUAUCCCUCAAUGGUUACUCUAAAGGAGGACUCAAUUUCAAUAGGGGUUGCAUUGGGUAAUUUGGCCAGGAUGUCAGCCGGUAUUCAUUAUGCAUUGAUUUUUGCAAGAUGAGCUGAAACAACUGUGAAACUAGUUACCAAGAAAUCGAAGAAUUCAUCCUUAGUGAACUUCUCAUAUUCUAACAGAAGAAUGUGGUAUUGCUCACACGUUAAAAUCAAUGACAUGCCUUUUUCUCUUCCAGUGGGUUUCAAGAAAGAGCACAAGGAAUGAGGAGGACACAGAAGACAAGACAAGCUGACCUGAUCAAUCUUGUGACAAGGAGGCGCAUUGUCCGAGAAUUGAAGAACUAUUCAACAUAGUUAUUCAGUUUUGUUCAUUAUAGUUCUUCAAUUUUAUUCAAAAUAUAAAUAUGUGUAAAUAUUGAGCAUACAUAUUUAUUUCACACUGAUCGUCACAAGAGAAUGUAAAAGUGAAACUGUGAAAAGUAUAUUCACCAAGUCUUGCUCACACUUCAAAUAAAUGACUUGACUUGUUCUUUCCCAUCAGAUUUCAGGAAAGACCUGAAGGAGCAAAGAGAGUGAGGACAAGACAAGUUGUCCCAAUCUCUUUCGUGAUGAGGCUUCAUCAGAGAACUGAAGAACAUAUACAAAAUAUAAAGAUGUAUACAAAUACUGAGCAUACUUAUUUAUUACAUACCGAUUGUCACAGGAGAAUAUAAAAAUGAAACUCUGAAAAUGUAUUACUCAGGAAAUCUAAGGUGUCUUCCUUCAUAAAUGUCUCAUACUCUAAUAUCACGUGGAUCUGCUCACACUUCAAAUAAAUUAUGUAACUUGUUCUUUCCCAAAAGAUUUCAAAAACAGAUCAGUGGAGGUGACAAGAGACAAGCCAUGCCAAGCAAAACUGCAUUACCCUUUUAGGUCUUGUUUUCAGAAGAUUAGUCUCAAAACCAGUGGCUGGCUGCUGCAAAUAGAGGCAUCAAGCGUGAGCUGAUUUUAUCCUUGGCCCUGUGAGGUAAGUUAGCCUGGAAUAUUCUGUGCUGGCUUCAAGGGUUCAUGCCUAAAAAAUAAGAAUACGUUUGUUUAAAUUGUUUGUAUCCUGCCUAUUCAAGAGCCUUAAACAACCAUCUCUUCAGCCUGGCUUUUAAUGAUAUCUUGUUUUAAUCUUAAUUUUAAUUAGAUUUAAUCUGGUUUAAAUAUUUCUUGAUUUUAAUUGUUUUAUUCUGUGUUUUUUUAUUUCAAUGUAAACCAGCCUGAGCCAAUGAAUGAAUGAAUGAAUGAAAUAAUAAAUAUUCAACAAAAUGCUAUUCAGGGCCGCUUGCCCUCUCUUAAAUGAAAACAACAACCACCCCCUACUAAAUGCAAAACAACAACAAAACUCACUAUUAAAUGCAAGCCCCCACACUACUAAUUUUUAAAAAAAAACACUACUAAAUGCAACAACCCCCCCCGCAAAGCCCACUACUAAAUGGGGAAAAAACCCACCACUAAAUGCACACACUCCACUAAUAAAUGCAAAAAAAAUUCACUACUAAAUGCAAUAAAACAGAAGAUAAAAUAGACAAGAAAAAGGAGCAUUCACAACUAAAAACUCAGUAUUCUAAACAAGAGUUAAAAAAACAACCACCAGCUCUGUUCACCAGCCAUUCUCAAUGAGCUCUGUUGGUACAUUACUCGUCAGGUUUUUUCACCCAUCAGGCAUCCUUUUUCACUUGUCACAGAUGGGUAGACUAGUGGAUUUUCUGAGCCCUGAUUCUAAACUUGGAUUGGAGAACAAUGGAAUUUUUCUUGGUGCAGAUCUCCUGACCUAGCUGCUUUGCGUGAGUAUUUGUUCAGUGGAUCUGAAAAAACUAUUAUCGUGAUGUUUGAAACUAACAUUUGUUAAAGAUUUGUGGUAAUGUUUUAUUUUGAAACAUGAAUUAUUUGAAAUGAUGAAAGAAUGUUAAUAUGCCUAUAUAUUCUCUUCUUACCCAGCAGGUUGACUUGUAUACAGUGCCAUGUGGAUUGUGGUUAAAUCCCUACAAAGAAGGAUAUUGCAAGAAAUCGGAAAUUUAUAAAAGUGUCUACUGAGAGAGGUAUAUAUUAACCUAUGUCUAAAUAUGCUUUUGAUUUUCUUUUCCCCUAGCAAUCAAUCAAUGUAUCGCGAUCCAUAGACCAGAAAAUUUUCCCCUAGCAGACUGAUUUACAUAGACGGCCAUGUGGACUGUGGGUAAAUCCCUACUUAGGAGGUUAUUUGAAGAAAUCCAAAGUGUAUAAAAGUGACUAAUAUCAAAGAGGUAUGUAUCAACGCCUAUUUAGAUGUUUUUACUCCCUUAUUAGGAUGUUAGAUAUACAGUUAAGGUGACUCUAUUUAAAAGUCUUCUGUCUGGAAGAUUUUCCUCUCAAAAGAGACUUGUGCAGACAGGUUGAAAGUUGCUCUUACAAUAAGUGAUGUAGGGACAUAGGAGCUGAAGUCCUAUGGUCAGGGUGAAGUGCUGGUAACCUCUCCCCUGUAGCCUCCAAAGAAAGAGGAGAACUUUCUGCAACUGGAAGAAAAAAGAUGAAGUCUGAAGAAAAGAUUCAUUGUGGAAGGAGCGGUCCGCUUGCCAUGGACUGUGAUGCUUUCUUGCUCCACGUUACUGAUAGCCAGUUUAGUUUAUUGUUACCUUUAAAUUGUUAUUCUGUAUGUGAGCAUUCUGUGCAUUCAUUAUUUCUGUAAAGCCUUUGUGUAGAACCCGGGUUCUUCUUUUUGUAAUGUAUUUUAAAUGUCUGGAAAUUU
Molecule: long non-coding RNA, 6380 nt
Organism: Hemicordylus capensis (graceful crag lizard)
Lineage: Eukaryota; Metazoa; Chordata; Lepidosauria; Squamata; Cordylidae
Exons: 4
Source: RefSeq, a predicted model, not a curated record